GAUGAACGCUGGCGGCGUGCCUAAUACAUGCAAGUCGAGCGAACGGACGAGAAGCUUGCUUUUCUGAUGUUAGCGGCGGACGGGUGAGUAACACGUGGAUAACCUACCUAUAAGACUGGGAUAACUUCGGGAAACCGGAGCUAAUACCGGAUAAUAUUUUGAACCGCAUGGUUCAAAAGUGAAAGACGGUCUUGCUGUCACUUAUAGAUGGAUCCGCGCUGCAUUAGCUAGUUGGUAAGGUAACGGCUUACCAAGGCAACGAUGCAUAGCCGACCUGAGAGGGUGAUCGGCCACACUGGAACUGAGACACGGUCCAGACUCCUACGGGAGGCAGCAGUAGGGAAUCUUCCGCAAUGGGCGAAAGCCUGACGGAGCAACGCCGCGUGAGUGAUGAAGGUCUUCGGAUCGUAAAACUCUGUUAUUAGGGAUGAACAUAUGUGUAAGUAACUGUGCACAUCUUGACGGUACCUAAUCAGAAAGCCACGGCUAACUACGUG
This 497-nucleotide ribosomal RNA is filed under the name uncultured bacterium. RNAcentral describes it as "partial 16S ribosomal RNA". It matches the Rfam family "Bacterial small subunit ribosomal RNA", at positions 28 to 507 of the family's 1533-position model. The record is from RNAcentral.